This 253-nucleotide ribosomal RNA is filed under the name uncultured bacterium. RNAcentral describes it as "partial 16S ribosomal RNA". It matches the Rfam family "Bacterial small subunit ribosomal RNA", at positions 524 to 776 of the family's 1533-position model. The record is from RNAcentral.
AACGUAGGACACAAGCGUUAUCCGGAGUUACUGGGCGUAAAGGGCGUUUAGGCGGGUGAUUAAGUUCGCUAUGAAAGCGCCAGGCUAAACCUGGCGAGGCUGGCGGAUACUGGUCAUCUGGAGUGAGUCAGAGGAAGGUAGAAUUCCGCGUGUAGUGGUGAAAUGCGUAGAGAUGCGGAGGAAUACCAGUGGCGAAGGCGGCCUUCUGGGACUCAACUGACACUGAGGAACGAAAGCGUGGGGAGCGAACAGG